UUCAUUUAUUUAUACAAGCACUGGGUACAGUCAGAAGCACAGGAGGGCGAGAGAAUUCACCAGAGCCAGAGCGGGGAGCAGAGCCGGCAGAAGGACCGAAGUACAAUGCUGGGAGGAGUAGCGGGUGGCAGGGAGAUAAGGAAUCCAAAAUGAUCAGUUGGCUGUCUCACUUUCCAAUAUAAUGGAACCAUUGUUGCAUCUCCUAAAGAAAGCAUUCUCCUUGGGAACUAAGGUCUUCAAACCAGCAGCAAAGUUUUCAGGAAGUGGCCUCCCUGGUGGUGCAAGGGGUUGGGCACUGCACUGUGAAGCAAUCCGCAGCCUCUGCAGCAUGAGUUCGGGGAGAUACCCACAUGGCACAGCAGACCUCUCCUGGCUUACCCGCUGCUCCCCUCAGCAUCGCGCCUCGGUCCAUCUGCCUGUUCUGUUCCCCACUCUGUCUCUCAUGAAUCCUCUCACUCCCUGGAUCUCUAGCCUGUACCCCAUUUCUUG
Talpa occidentalis (Iberian mole) is the source of this 489-nucleotide long non-coding RNA. RefSeq lists it as uncharacterized. NCBI's taxonomy places the organism in Eukaryota, Metazoa, Chordata, Mammalia, Eulipotyphla, Talpidae. The transcript has 3 exons. The record is from RefSeq and is a predicted model, not a curated record.